CUCUCGCCUACAUUUCAGGCGAGGCAAGGCGCAUCUCAAACAAGCCUAAUGUUUGCCACAAAUCUCAAAUUAGACCACGCCCUCCUGAUCAUCAAUUCGGUCUUAAGAUCGACCUUAAAAUCUUCAAGUGUGUUGCCAGCCUAAAUUUAAGUUUGAAUCGAUCGAAGCUAGUCCAGCGUAAAUGACUCACUCACUCACUCACUCACUCACUCACUCAACUGAAUCAUUUCCUCGCGCAUUCAGCCAUGUGCUCAGCUCCAGUUUGAAGAUGAAGCUGCUUUUACAUCGAAAAUACCCAACACUUAUUCAGCGCACAGAGCCACAGCAUGGAAAAAGAUUUUAACAGUGGAAUCACGACUGCGGACGGCCACCCAUGUCUUACUUCACGCCCUUUGGCCCUGAUCCUGCGAGAUGAGUUUUCCUCACUUGUAAUGGCAGACAGUGAAAUGCAGCAUAGUUUCGGGUGAAACAGUUUCUUCUCACUGAUCCCGGUCUGCAGUGUAUCCUACAAACUGUAUAUUAGAGGCAAGGACAAGGAAAGUAUAUUAUGCUCGUUACUCAGGCCAUUUCCACUAUUUUUUAGUACAUACGAGUUGUCUUGAGCAUUUAUUACUCUGUUAAGAACAGUUAACUUUGUGUGCAUGAUGCAGUACAGCAAUAAAGAGAAU
Molecule: long non-coding RNA, 668 nt
Organism: Cyprinus carpio carpio
Lineage: Eukaryota; Metazoa; Chordata; Actinopteri; Cypriniformes; Cyprinidae
Source: Ensembl